This 673-nucleotide long non-coding RNA is filed under the name Nicotiana benthamiana. Its description in RNAcentral is "long non-coding RNA (NBEN_LNC041416)". The record is from RNAcentral. Lineage: Eukaryota; Viridiplantae; Streptophyta; Magnoliopsida; Solanales; Solanaceae.
GGCCAUAGGAAGUUACAGUCAGGGGCUAGCUGUAAUAGAUGAGGCUGUAUCCUCUUAAGAUCUCAGUAAACUGAAGUGUAUAAUUGACGGUAUCAAUUCACUGCUUUGGAAAACUAGACUUCAUUCUAAGGUAUAUCCUUUGAAAUUUUCUGAUUUUGAAGCUCUUCAUGGUCUGCAAUCUGUAUAAGCUGUGAGGCUGCUAUAUACAUAAGUAAAACUCACUUAUACCGAGCAGAUACUGGACGAUGUGUAAUCCUUUAUCUUUAGAUAUAUAAGCUCAACAUGAUCAGUAAUUACCUCUAUUGCCUGCACCUCGGGGUUGUGUUUUUCACCGUACUCUUUGGAGUAAUUCUUCUCAAUUUUAAGUUCUAACCGUGCCUCAAACUUCUGUGAUUUGUAAGCUUGUCCUGCACUUUCGAUGGACAUGUUGUGCAUGUGUUGUGUAUUCUAACCAAGCAAUUGACUGAUCAAAUCUGAUGAAUUGUCAUGGUAUGCAGGAAGAUAGUGAGAAAUCGGGUAAGGUGACGUCAGCAGGAAUGUAUUUCUUGCACUUUCAGGUGUAUAGAAUGGAUUCAACUGUAAAUGCGGUAUGUGAAUAUCACCCUGUUGGUCAAAUUCAUUUAUGCAUUGUUUUCGUCAGAGCUAGUAAAAAAUCUGAAAUAUUGCAGUUAGC